UAUACUAUAGUAUAUUAUGUAUAAAAGUUUUUGAUACUUUAGGAAAAAGAUUAAUUCUUUUUAGUAUAU
RNAcentral lists this transfer RNA (69 nucleotides) under Curculionoidea sp. 17 KM-2017. RNAcentral's name for it is "tRNA-Gln". The record is from RNAcentral. Lineage: Eukaryota; Metazoa; Arthropoda; Insecta; Coleoptera.